UACAGAGGUCUCAAGCGUUGUUCGGAUUCAUUGGGCGUAAAGGGUGCGUAGGUGGCGCCGUAAGUCAGGUGUGAAAUUUCGGAGCUUAACUCCGAAACUGCAUUUGAUACUGCGGUGCUUGAGGACUGGAGAGGAGACUGGAAUUCACGGUGUAGCAGUGAAAUGCGUAGAUAUCGUGAGGAAGACCAGUGGCGAAGGCGGGUCUCUGGACAGUUCCUGACACUGAGGCACGAAGGCCAGGGGAGCGAACAGG
This 253-nucleotide ribosomal RNA is filed under the name uncultured bacterium. RNAcentral describes it as "partial 16S ribosomal RNA". It matches the Rfam family "Bacterial small subunit ribosomal RNA", at positions 524 to 776 of the family's 1533-position model. The record is from RNAcentral.